UUCUAGCCCCGAUGGUAGCGGCAUCCUUUUUUGCUGGCUGAGGCUCCCGAAGCCAGCAAAAAAGAUACAGCGGACAGCGGGUGGCAUG
Molecule: small RNA, 88 nt
Filed under: Flavobacteriaceae bacterium 3519-10
Lineage: Bacteria; Pseudomonadati; Bacteroidota; Flavobacteriia; Flavobacteriales; Flavobacteriaceae
Description: Flavo-1 RNA
Rfam family: Flavo-1 RNA
Source: Rfam by way of RNAcentral